GACGAACGCUGGCGGCGUGCCUAAUACAUGCAAGUUGAGCGCUGAAGGUUGGUACUUGUACCGACUGGAUGAGCAGCGAACGGGUGAGUAACGCGUGGGGAAUCUGCCUUUGAGCGGGGGACAACAUUUGGAAACGAAUGCUAAUACCGCAUAAAAACUUUAAACACAAGUUUUAAGUUUGAAAGAUGCAAUUGCAUCACUCAAAGAUGAUCCCGCGUUGUAUUAGCUAGUUGGUGAGGUAAAGGCUCACCAAGGCGAUGAUACAUAGCCGACCUGAGAGGGUGGACGGCCACAUUGGGACUGAGACACGGCCCAAACUCCUACGGGAGGCAGCAGUAGGGAAUCUUCGGCAAUGGACGAAAGUCUGACCGGGCAACGCCGCGUGAGUGAAGAAGGUUUUCGGAUCGUAAAACUCUGUUGGUAGAGAAGAACGUUGGUGAGAGUGGAAAGCUCAUCAAGUGACGGUAACUACCCAGAAAGGGACGGCUAACUACGUG
Molecule: ribosomal RNA, 497 nt
Filed under: uncultured bacterium
Lineage: Bacteria
Description: partial 16S ribosomal RNA
Rfam family: Bacterial small subunit ribosomal RNA
Source: RNAcentral